GGGGAUGUGGCUCAGUGGUAGAGUACUUGCACAGCUUGCACAAGGAGGCCCUGGGUUGAAUCCCCAGCACCACA
Molecule: transfer RNA, 74 nt
Filed under: Marmota monax (woodchuck)
Lineage: Eukaryota; Metazoa; Chordata; Mammalia; Rodentia; Sciuridae
Description: tRNA.Undet
Source: RNAcentral